CUUCUUUAAGUUGCCUCAGGAAGAACAGUCUCUGCUGGGCCUUCUUCCGUACAGUGUCUAUGUGUGAAGACCAUCUCAGGUCCUCAGAGAUGGUGGUUCCUAAGAAUGUUAUUGCUUUGGCAAAGCGCAUCAAAAGACAUAAACUAGUUCACAUAUUGGCGAUAUUAACCCAUGAAAACUGGGAAAUUUGGAAAAGGAUUGUGCAUAAUUGUUAUUUCUUGUUUUUUGUGCUACCAAACCUAAACCAUUUUCCUUUCUGUAUUUUCCAUGUGUGUAUUUCUUCUUUACAGACUGGCUUGGCCUAAAACUAGUUUGUGAACCAGGAGUUUAUAUUAACAAAAUGUACAGGUUUUCCUGUAAAUGUUGGCUUUUGGCAGUAGUUUUUCCUUUAACUUUAUUGCUUACAUCUACAUUUUCUUACUUAAAUAAGUCAAACUGUUUUUUUAACCUAAAUUCAUUUUCAACUAAAUAAGAUAAACAUUCUAUGUCUGAGUCAGUGAUUACUUUAAAAUUGUACCAAAAACUUUACCUGAAAAUAUCAGAUGAAAUUAAUUUGGCAUAAUGGUUACCAGUGCAUUUUAGAAAUUAAUAAUACUUUUAAUCUGCUUUUAUUGCUUUUUAAAAGCAAUAAAACCCAUUUAACUGAUGUCCUUUUACCUCACAGGCCCUGCAGGCUCCUCAUGUCUUCUGAGAAAGGUUAUAUGUUGUACUUCCUAAAAUGGUAAAACUAAAAACUAGAUGUGAGACAAGACUUUUGAGGCAAAGUUGAUUAUUUAAAACGUAUAAUUUUUGUCUGGCUGACUUAUUUUAAUCCUUUUUUUUUUAUUUACUUUCCAUUUUUAUUUAGACUUCAAAGAAAUUGGUGCCAGCCAGGAAACGCCUGAAUGGUGCAACUCAAUCAAAACGUUUUAGAAAACAGCUGCGGAUUGUUUGGAGCUUUCAGCUGAAAUUUAAUCAUUAUCAAACACACAACUGAAUCAGUGUAAGCUGCAGUAUAAAGGCAACAACAAUGUGGCUUUUCUAUUGAACACAAUAUUUUUAUUUUCAUUGGCACUCUUGUCAAUCCAAACUACUCGACACCUAAACGUCAGUGUCAGUUUAUAACUUCCUUUUUAUGGUGGAAAAAAUAAUAGGCAUAUACAGGAAUGUGUGGGAACUGGUUUUCGGGUCAUGACGUGGAAAUCAAUUAUGUAGUCGUGUCAAGGCUCUUAUUUAAGAGGGGGGAAACUAUAUUCGUCCCAUUUAAGACCAUCUCUUCUGGUUUCGAAGGAGAACAUGGAUCACUGAGCUAACCGGCCGUUACCUGACUGGGUUUUGAUGAACAACAACCACGACGCCGCUUUCAGAGUCUGAACGCUCCGCUGCUGGACUCUACCGUGGGCUUCCUUCCGUGACAGUUUCACGGACUGUCACAGGCUGCGUGAAGCUCUCAGAGGAGACAAUUAAAAAACACCGACGUUAAAAACCGAUGGCCAUGUUCCUGUUUGCAUACGUUGGCAGAGCAAUGCAUGACGGGAGAACACUUCUUCUUUAAGUUUAAUGUGCUAACCAGCUAUUAGAUGCACUAUGGACACCUGCUGGGCUAAAAGUGUUACUGCUAAACUACUGCAACACUACUUCUCUGGGACGGCGAUUCUUAAGUAUUUUACAGUUGAAACUAUUUAGCCUAUUUCUAUAAAUUGCCUGUUAAAAAAUCCCACAGUCUGACAAGAACAGGCACACCUCUAUUUAACAUCGUUGUAUUUUAAAGCAACAACUUUCAAAUAAAUAAACUUCCAAU
This is a long non-coding RNA of Girardinichthys multiradiatus, 1780 nucleotides long. RefSeq lists it as uncharacterized. The record is from RefSeq and is a predicted model, not a curated record. NCBI's taxonomy places the organism in Eukaryota, Metazoa, Chordata, Actinopteri, Cyprinodontiformes, Goodeidae. The transcript has 2 exons.